Podarcis lilfordi (Lilford's wall lizard) is the source of this 68-nucleotide non-coding RNA. NCBI's taxonomy places the organism in Eukaryota, Metazoa, Chordata, Lepidosauria, Squamata, Lacertidae. The record is from the annotation of a GenBank genome assembly.
ACCACCUCAGUUGGUAGAGCAUGAGACUUUUAAUCUCAGGGUUGUGGGUUCAAGCCCCAUGCCAGGCA